Long non-coding RNA from Anoplopoma fimbria (sablefish), 689 nucleotides. RefSeq lists it as uncharacterized. NCBI's taxonomy places the organism in Eukaryota, Metazoa, Chordata, Actinopteri, Perciformes, Anoplopomatidae. The record is from RefSeq and is a predicted model, not a curated record. The transcript is spliced from 3 exons.
UCUUUCAGACACUCCUGUUACACCCGGUCUAGGGGAAACAUGAGCUCAACAUAACGCCGGUUCUCCCUUUUUCCCCCACUCCCAAUAAAGACAAUUGCUGCUGACGUUUAGUACACAAUAUUUAUUAUUUCACAAAAAGGGUUGGUAGAAAUAAACGUCAAGGUGAGCCUGGCCCAAAACAAUAAACAAAACCCUCUUAAAUAAUAUACUACCUUACCUAUUCCCAAAACAAACAAAAGAAAAUACAGGCAUCUUACCUCUCACCUUAAGGUGAGCAUGUUGUUGUGUUGCAGGUGAUCAACCAGUUGGUGUUCAUGCCGUAGUGAAGAUCCUGGGAAUCCUAAUGCUCGUCAGUACGUUGGUCAUCUUUGAGUGCUGGUUUAGAUCAAGACACUCAACCAAACCAGUGAAGGAUGCAGGAGAGGCAGACUAUGUCAACAGAGUGAUUGAGAUCCAAGCACCAUGAGCCGGAUGGAGAAGGAAGGUGGAGAUGGCGACGGAGAUGAAGAUGUCAUGUUCAAUAUCAAUGGAACCAGAUAUCAUUUCUUAUUUCCUGUUUCUAUGUGUCGGUGUGCCAUAAACAUGAAAGUCAAUCAAAAAUUAAAAAGCAUGACUUUGUUUGUAUACGUUUGAUUAGACGAACAAGAUGACCCCAGAUUUUGUGUGAAUAUAAAUGUGAAAUUCUCCUG